AUAAUACACGCAGAAAACACUUUUAUGGAGUGCAUUCGUGUGCUUUAACACACACGAGCACGUGACAAUGAUUUGUUAUCCUAUUUUGAAACUGUAAAAGAAGACCCCAAAUAACCGGUCAAGGGUUCAUACACUUAUCGAAAUAAAAACACCAAAAAACUUUAAGCCAAUCGAAUUAGCAGGAUAAUUUAUCGGUAUGUUCGGACUUUAUGUUUAUUUAUUAUGUAAAAUCUAGAUAUUUCCGAAAUAAAUCCGCCAUUAUCUGAGUAUCAUCUGAAGCGAGUUAGGCUCCCCUCUCUAUGAUUUCCCCUGGGAAAAACAACAUAGAAAAUGCAUUAACUGAAAUUUUGCCUUAGUACAAAGUGAAAGAAUUGAAAUUUGAGAAGAGACAAAUUUUGGAAAUCAAAGAUUGCAUGGUCAGGCUUCCAACAUGCUUCAAACGGGCUAUGGAAAGAGUUUACAUACCAGAUAUCUGCUACCCGAUAAUCAAGUCUGCAUUCAAAGGAGCAGACAUUCUUCCCUGGUCUAUAUACCGGUAGCUUCAUUGAAAGGAAUCAGACACAGAAAGUUUGGGGAAAUGAAAUUGAGAGUCACUGUGAAUAAUUCACACACAUGCUAGACAUAAAGAAAUGGCCAGACACAGGCUCAGCUAUAGAAUCUGUAUCAACUGGAAGCAACAGCAUUUUCAUCAGAAAACUAAAAAGGAUGUGAAAAACAUGAAACAUGCAUUUGGAAAUGUUCAGCUGCCAAACAAAUAGAUAUGCCAGGAAAUGCAAAUUGUUUGCUAAUAUAAAUGUCAAUGAUGUCUGUACAAAAGCAAAGAUAUAAAAGCCUUUUUCAUUUAUACAUGUAACAGUCAUAUACAAUACAGAUUUAAGACCAUCAGACAAUCUUUAAAUCUUUGGAAGCCACAGUACCUAGUCCAAGACAUUCCAUAUUUUCAACUCGUUAUGAAGACAUAUUUGACCAAUCUGGUUUCCAUUUAUAGAAGUUUAAAAAUAAGUUCUACAUGUACAUGACAUGAUGAUCACCAUCAAUGAAGGUGAUAUAGGAUAUAAUAUUCAAAGUAGAGAAGUAUAAAGUGAAUUUGAACCUCCCACCAUAAUAGCAUUCUGCACAUUUUGGAUCACAUAUGGAUCAAGCUGUUGUACUUGUGAACUAAAAGAUUGUUGCUUGGUUGUUUUCAGGUACAUUGUACAUGUUGACAGUGCUAUACGUCUAUUAAAUAAAAUGCAGUUCAGAACAGUUA
Molecule: long non-coding RNA, 1249 nt
Organism: Mytilus californianus (California mussel)
Lineage: Eukaryota; Metazoa; Mollusca; Bivalvia; Mytilida; Mytilidae
Exons: 2
Source: RefSeq, a predicted model, not a curated record